This 206-nucleotide long non-coding RNA is filed under the name Elaeis guineensis (African oil palm). RNAcentral's name for it is "long non-coding RNA (EGUI_LNC003532)". Lineage: Eukaryota; Viridiplantae; Streptophyta; Magnoliopsida; Arecales; Arecaceae. The record is from RNAcentral.
CUACAGCAAUCAACUAUUCUCCGAAUCUCUUCCGGACUUCUCCCAACCAUGAUCGACUUUACUCCGGACUCCUUUCGGGCUUCGUCGACGUCUGAGCUUCCCCAACAAUAGGGCUUCUGCAAUAGCUAGGUUCCAUCCAAGUUUCCAUGACGGUCGACCGCCUUCCGAAUUUUAUCCGGGCUCCUACGGGAGUUGGAUCCCGGACG